CCUGUGAGGGUUGCUGGAGGUAUCAGAAGUGCGAAUGCUGACAUAAGUAACGAUAAAGCGGGUGAAAAGCCCGCUCGCCGGAAGACCAAGGGUUCCUGUCCAACGUUAAUCGGGGCAGGGUGAGUCGACCCCUAAGGCGAGGCCGAAAGGCGUAGUCGAUGGGAAACGGGUUAAUAUUCCCGUACUUGGUGUUACUGCGAAGGGGGGNNNNNNNNNNNNNNNNNNNNGGGGGGACGGAGAAGGCUAUGUUGGCCGGGCGACGGUUGUCCCGGUUUAAGCGUGUAGGUGUGUGUUCCAGGUAAAUCCGGUUCACUUUAACACUGAGGCGUGACGACGAGGCACUACGGUGCUGAAGCAACAAAUGCCCUGCUUCCAGGAAAAGCCUCUAAGCAUCAGGUAACAUCAAAUCGUACCCCAAACCGACACAGGUGGUCAGGUAGAGAAUACCAAGGCGCUUGAGAGAACUCGGGUGAAGGAACUAGGCAAAAUGGUGCCGUAACUUCGGGAGAAGGCACGCUGACACGUAGGUGAAGUGAUUUACUCAUGGAGCUGAAGUCAGUCGAAGAUACCAGCUGGCUGCAACUGUUUAUUAAAAACACAGCACUGUGCAAACACGAAAGUGGACGUAUACGGUGUGACGCCUGCCCGGUGCCGGAAGGUUAAUUGAUGGGGUCAGCGCAAGCGAAGCUCCUGAUCGAAGCCCCGGUAAACGGCGGCCGUAACUAUAACGGUCCUAAGGUAGCGAAAUUCCUUGUCGGGUAAGUUCCGACCUGCACGAAUGGCGUAAUGAUGGCCAGGCUGUCUCCACCCGAGACUCAGUGAAAUUGAACUCGCUGUGAAGAUGCAGUGUACCCGCGGCAAGACGGAAAGACCCCGUGAACCUUUACUAUAGCUUGACACUGAACAUUGAGCCUUGAUGUGUAGGAUAGGUGGGAGGCUUUGAAGUGUGGACGCCAGUCUGCAUGGAGCCGACCUUGAAAUACCACCCUUUAAUGUUUGAUGUUCUAACGUGGACCCGUUACCCGGGUUGCGGACAGUGUCUGGUGGGUAGUUUGACUGGGGCGGUCUCCUCCUAAAGAGUAACGGAGGAGCACGAAGGUUGGCUAAUCCUGGUCGGACAUCAGGAGGUUAGUGCAAUGGCAUAAGCCAGCUUGACUGCGAGCGUGACGGCGCGAGCAGGUGCGAAAGCAGGUCAUAGUGAUCCGGUGGUUCUGAAUGGAAGGGCCAUCGCUCAACGGAUAAAAGGUACUCCGGGGAUAACAGGCUGAUACCGCCCAAGAGUUCAUAUCGACGGCGGUGUUUGGCACCUCGAUGUCGGCUCAUCACAUCCUGGGGCUGAAGUAGGUCCCAAGGGUAUGGCUGUUCGCCAUUUAAAGUGGUACGCGAGCUGGGUUUAGAACGUCGUGAGACAGUUCGGUCCCUAUCUGCCGUGGGCGCUGGAGAACUGAGGGGGGCUGCUCCUAGUACGAGAGGACCGGAGUGGACGCAUCACUGGUGUUCGGGUUGUCAUGCCAAUGGCACUGCCCGGUAGCUAAAUGCGGAAGAGAUAAGUGCUGAAAGCAUCUAAGCACGAAACUUGCCCCGAGAUGAGUUCUCCCUGAGACUUUAGGUCUCCUGAAGGAACGUUGAAGACGACGACGUUGAUAGGCCGGGUGUGUAAGCGCAGCGAUGCGUUGAGCUAACCGGUACUAAUGAACCGUGAGGCUUAACCUUACAACGCCGAAGAUGUUUUGGCGGAUGAGAGACGAUUUUCAGCACUGAUUCNNNNNNNNNNNNNNNNNNNNGCGGAUGAGAGACGAUUUUCAGCACUGAUUCAGAUUACAUCAGAACGUAAAAACGGUCUGAUAACAGAAUUUGCCUGGCGGCAGUAGCGCGGUGGUCCCACCUGANNNNNNNNNNNNNNNNNNNNUAGCGCGGUGGUCCCACCUGACCCCAUGCCGAACUCAGAAGUGAAACGCCGUAGCGCCGAUGGUAGUGUGGGGUCUCCCCAUGCGAGAGUAGGGAACUGCCAGGCAUCAAAU
Molecule: ribosomal RNA, 2021 nt
Filed under: Salmonella enterica subsp. enterica serovar Paratyphi A
Lineage: Bacteria; Pseudomonadati; Pseudomonadota; Gammaproteobacteria; Enterobacterales; Enterobacteriaceae
Source: RNAcentral